CGCGUGCGCGUCUCUGAAACGGGGACUUGGGAGCGCGCGCUGCCCCUCACUUGGCUGCAACUGGACCCAGAACUAGGGAAGAGGCCAGGGACAGAUUUUUUUUUUUUAUUUUUAUUUUUUUUGCCGAGGGACGUUUCAAAAUUUUGCACGGCCAGGGUGACAAAAAGAGGAUUUAAGAGCCACAAGCGGUCCGCACAUGACCCAGACUUCGUUCCUGUGCGGCUUCCAGAGGUGUUCAUGCAGAAGACUGGAUGCAGGACCCUUGGUGGCACCAGUGUGCAGAUGAGCAGAUAGUGACUGAUUGCCACUGGGGCUAUAACAAAAUAUAAUAAACUGGGUACCUUAGAAGCAACGGAAAUUGAUUUCUCAUCGUUCUAGAAGCUAGGAAGUUCACGAUCAAGGUAGCAGCAGAGUUGGUGCCUGCUCUGGAGGCUGGAAAUCCAACAACAGAGUGCCAGCAUGAUCAGGUUCUGGAGAGGACCCUCUUCCUGUUUGCAGACUGCUGACUUCUUAUUGUAUAUUCCAAUGGUAGAAAGAGAGCAAGAGAACUCUCUGGAGUCUUUUUUUUAUAAGGGUGCUAACCCCAUUUAAGGAGGUUUCCCCUCAUAAUCUAAUUAUCUCUCAAAAGCCAUACCUUUCAACACCAUUGCAUUGAAGGUUAGGAUUUCAACAUGUGAAUUUGUAGUGGGGUGACGGGGAGAGGGACACACAAAUAUUUAGUCCAUAAUGCAUACUAACAAAAACUGGGGUAAAAGGUCACUGAAGUGAAUCCUUGCAGUAUUAAAGGACACGUUAUACUUCAUUUAUCCUUUUGGUCCAUAAAUAUUGAGCACACACUAUGAGCUAAAUUCUAGGUGCAUGUUAGAGCAUUGGUGGUACCACAAUAAAAUAGCCUUUUUCCCUAUCCUCAGGGAUUUUACAAUUUUGUGAAAGAGUUAUGCAGAUAGGCAGUUAACCUGCAGGUGGUGAUUGCUCACAAAGAGAAAAGCAGGGGGCUGUAAAAUUAGAGAAGCUAAGCUCACUUACCCUGUAUGGAGUUGGAUACAGAAUGUUUGCUAGAGGAAGUGGUGCCAAGUAGAUUUAGAUAAAGAAGAAGGUGGUGAUGAGAGGACGGAAGUGAUCGAAGGAAUGAAAGGUAGUAGAAAGGAAAUAGCACGCGAGAAGCUGUAGGAGAAAGGAGAAAGCGCACUUCCUGGCAAAAGGGAUAGCACACACAUAGGUUAGAGGUAAAAGGGCACAGCAAGGCUGCAGAGGCCUUGGGAGCUCAGCAUGAUUCGAAUGCAGUUGUACAGGAGGACUGGCACACACUCUGCUUCUUGGAGGUUACAGCAACUGCUACUCUCUGAGGGUUGUGUUACUUAUCUAUCUACUCAUCUAACAACAUGUCAUAACACACUGAGGGAAUUCCUCCAGACCUUUGAACAAAAAUGUUCUAACUUGAUUCAAAAUAAUUUAUACUCAACAUUCUUAGUAUCUUGCUUCAAAAAUAAAUGGACGAAGAAUAGUAUUCUGGCUACAGUUCCGUGUAACAAAUUGCCCAACUGUAGUGGCUUAAAAUGACAAUUAUUUUAUUAUGUUCACAUAAGUGUAGGUCAGGGGCUCAUAAAGGGCUAAGGGAGGAAGCUUUGCACACAUCUAUGGUGUGAGGCUACCUCCUAGACAAGACAAGUAAUGGACCACUUGGCUUGUUUAGUGACUGUGUGGUAAACAGGGGCAUGUGAGAGUUUGCUUAAAGGCAGACUUCCUCCUCUGGUCAGUUUGGUCCAGCCCAUUCAAUUGUGCCUUGCCUGGCCUUCCAGUUUCUGAAUUCCUACUUAACAUCUGAGAUGGCUUGACCCUCAUUCUGCACGAGAGUUUAUAAAUGAACUUUUGUGACUGCACCAGACUUCUAAUGUCACAAUGGCUCCGCCUGCAUACCCUUCUACUCUAUGUGGUUUCAUUCUUCUUCCCUUCCUGCUCAGAAUUAAGUCUGAAUUGAAGCUCCAAUAGUCUCAUAGAUAUUCUCAUAGAUAUAGAUAUUCUCAUAGGUAUUCUUAUAUAUCUUGGUUCAUUCCUGAGGGUUCUUGAACCUCUCAGUUAUUUUUUCUUCUUUCACCCCUGCAUAAUUUGAGAAAGCUUAUCAAAGCUGGGAAUAGGAACCAUGUCUCACUGGUUUCUUUUAAAAUUUCUAUUUAAAAAUAUUUACUUAUUUUUUUGAACAGGUAAUAUAUUCACAUAGAUAAAAAUCCUAAGAUGAAAAUAUAAAUAAAUAGGUUCCCUUCCUCCAUACCAUGUGCAUCAUAAAUCCCCCCAAUUUGUCUAGUACAGGUUCUCAAAACAUUUACUGAAUUUUUAUAGUCAAGUUCCUCAAUACGUACACCUAGUACAUUGGUUGGAUUUACUAUAAAGCUGAUGAAUCUUAAGCCUCAGGGCUCAUCACCUUCUGGGGCUCCUUCCAGGUCCUCUUCCAGAAUCAUCAUCAACUUGCUUCUAUGCCUUUGUAAAAUAUACAAUUGUAAUACAUUUAAACCACAUCAUUUCCGUCUGUUGCCCCUUUCCACUGCAACCCCUUGGCAUACUCUGCCUCCUAUAAAGGGGCAUUAGAGUAGCCUGUGGCAACUUUAGGAUAUAGAAAAGGGGAAAUUGAAAUGGGAGUACAUUUUAUUUGGGUUUAGUGAGAGUUUAUGUGCUUUGCAGUCUUUUUGUAAAUAGCUAAGUAAUUGUUAAGUAUGGCAAUGUCAGUUCUAUUCCUAACUGCUCGCCAUGAAGUUUACUUAGUAUCAUAAUGUGAACCUGCAGGGCCAGAGUUAUUCUGCUAUAUAUAAAAGUGCCCUAUAGCAUCUACAAUUGGGAGUACGUAAUGGAAAAGAAGAUAGUAGCUAUUAAUACGAAUAUUGUUAUUUUUCUGAAUUUUGUGAUGUUUGUGGUAUCCAUCAGCACUUUUAUAUUUGUAAAUUUUUCCCAUUUCUUUUCUUCAUUUUCUAAACACUUUUCAUACAAUUUAUUUGUUACUUUGCAUUCCUUUUUUCUUAGUGCGGUGUCCAAAAUUGUAAGAAUCCUUUAUCCCACAAAAAAUUGAUCCUGUCUUUUACAGAAUUGCCCAGCAGAUGUCUUUUUCAUUUCCUUUGCUUGUGGUUUGCCCAUCUGUCAGCUGUGAAUGACCCAAACAACGUGACACGCUAUUUCUAACUCAACAGUCCUGGAACUUUCUUGACCUUUGACAAAGCCAUCAGAUCACCAUCACCAUCAUUAUUGUUUAUAGAAACAUGAAAAUUCAACCAUAAAAAGUCAUCUUGGGCUGAGCAUGGUGGCUCUAACAUGUAAUCCCAGCACUUUGGGAGCCUAAGCAGGUAUGCUCACUCUUUCACUAACCUUGAGAGACAUUGUCAGAUGUGCAUAAGGGAAGAACAUGAAGGACGACGGAUAAACUGUACACAGACACAGCACAUGGAGUCUGAGUCAUUUGUUUUCUCUGACAGAUCUUUACCAUGCUGGAUUGGAAGAGAAAAGACCAUCACUAAAGCAAAUGGAUCAAAUGGAGUUAUAAAUCAACUCUGUACUCUACAGGAUUGACUCAACUGCAGACAUCUCCAAUACACUCCCUCAUGGCUUUAUUUUUUCUGCUUAUGUGGAAAAAUAACAGUAAAUACAGUUAACUAUCCCAAGACAGAAGAGUAUUAUUAAAAAAGAAUACAACGUUAUUGAUUUUUCAAGACAUAAUCAGAUAUUUUUAAACUCUGAUUUAAUAAAACAUAAUGUAAUUUCUUUUGUGGGAUUUUUUAUGCUUUCCCAAUGUUUAUUACCCUGUGUGUUUCACACUUCAAAAUGAGAGUAUCGUAAUAAGAUCACUUGAGAGGAUCCUGAUCUAAGUUACAAAAUCCCCAUGGCCUUUAUAUCCACAUUGUCACAUUCCCCCAGUCAUCUCUUUCUACUUUAUUGUAUCUAUUACACUUUACACUUAUUUAUGUUUUUCUAUUUACUUUAUAUAUACAAUAUCAUGGGGUACAUAGUGUAAGAGGAAGGAUGGCACUAGCAAGUAUUCCUAAGUUGGUUUAGGGAAUGGGAAUAAGGGUA
RNAcentral lists this long non-coding RNA (4053 nucleotides) under Homo sapiens (human). Its description in RNAcentral is "HSALNT0179519". Lineage: Eukaryota; Metazoa; Chordata; Mammalia; Primates; Hominidae. The record is from RNAcentral.